UGCAGUCGNNCGAGAAAGGGACCUUCGGGUCCUGAGUAAAGUGGCGAACGGGUGAGUAACGCGUAGGUAACCCAUCCUCGAGUGUGGAACAACCUGGCGAAAGCCGGGCUAAUACCGCAUGACAUCCCAGUCCCUUCGGUGGCAGGGAUCAAAGACGGCGAGCUUCGAGUGCUGUCGCUUGAGAACGGGCCUGCGUCCCAUUAGCUUGUUGGUGAGGUAACGGCUCACCAAGGCUUCGAUGGGUAGCCGAGCUGAGAGGCUGAUCGGCCACACUGGAACUGAGACACGGUCCAGACUCCUACGGGAGGCAGCAGUGGGGAAUUUUGCGCAAUGGGGGAAACCCUGACGCAGCGACGCCGCGUGGACGAUGAAGGCCUUCGGGUCGCAAAGUCCUGUCAGGAGGGACGAAACGUACGAGCGUUAAUACCGCUCGUGCCUGACGGUACCUCUGGAGGAAGCCCCGGCCAACUCCGUGCCAGCAGCCGCGGUAAUACGGGGGGGGCGAGCGUUAUUCGGAAUUAUUGGGCGUAAAGGGCGUGUAGGCGGCUUCGUGUGUCUUUUGUGAAAGCCCUCGGCUCAACCGAGGAAUUGCAGAGGAAACUGCGGAGCUCGAGUCCGGGAGAGGAGAGCGGAAUUCCCAGUGUAGCGGUGAAAUGCGUAGAUAUUGGGAGGAACACCAGUGGCGAAGGCGGCUCUCUGGACCGGUACUGACGCUGAGACGCGAAAGCCAGGGGAGCGAACGGGAUUAGAUACCCCGGUAGUCCUGGCUGUAAACGAUGAGCACUUGGUGUGGCGGGUAUCGACCCCNGCUGUGCCGAANCUAACGCAUUAAGUGCUCCGCCUGGGGAGUANNNCCGCAAGGCUGAAACUCAAAGGAAUUG
RNAcentral lists this ribosomal RNA (881 nucleotides) under uncultured bacterium. Its description in RNAcentral is "bacterial SSU rRNA". It matches the Rfam family "Bacterial small subunit ribosomal RNA", at positions 56 to 912 of the family's 1533-position model. The record is from RNAcentral.